This 253-nucleotide ribosomal RNA is filed under the name uncultured bacterium. RNAcentral describes it as "partial 16S ribosomal RNA". It matches the Rfam family "Bacterial small subunit ribosomal RNA", at positions 524 to 776 of the family's 1533-position model. The record is from RNAcentral.
UACGUAGGGUGCAAGCGUUAAUCGGAAUUACUGGGCGUAAAGCGCGCGCAGGUGGUUUCUUAAGUCUGAUGUGAAAGCCCACGGCUCAACCGUGGAGGGUCAUUGGAAACUGGGAGACUUGAGUGCAGAAGAGGAAAGUGGAAUUCCAUGUGUAGCGGUGAAAUGCGUAGAGAUAUGGAGGAACACCAGUGGCGAAGGCGACACACUGGCCCAUUACUGACGCUGAGGCUCGAAAGCGUGGGGAGCAAACAGG